Molecule: ribosomal RNA, 751 nt
Filed under: Pamborus pradierii
Lineage: Eukaryota; Metazoa; Arthropoda; Insecta; Coleoptera; Carabidae
Description: partial 16S ribosomal RNA
Rfam family: Bacterial large subunit ribosomal RNA (bases 1-532)
Source: RNAcentral
GGCCGCAGUAUAUUAACUGUGCAAAGGUAGCAUAAUCAUUAGUUUUUUAAUUGAAAGCUUGUAUGAAAGGUUGGACGAGGUAAAUUCUGUCUCUAACUAAAUUAAAUUAGAAUUUAAUUUUUAAGUUAAAAAGCUUAAAUUUAUAUAAAAGACGAGAAGACCCUAUAGAGCUUUAUAAUUUAUUAAAUAGGGUUAAUUUAGUUUCAUUAGUACUUUUUUUUGUAAAUUAUUUUAUUGGGGUAAUAGAAAGAUUUAAAUAAUUCUUUUUUUUUAUAAACAUAAAUUUAUGAAUUUAAUGAUCCAGUUUUAUUGAUUAAAAGAUUAAGUUACCUUAGGGAUAACAGCGUAAUUUUUUUAGAGAGUUCAUAUCGAUAAAAAAGUUUGCGACCUCGAUGUUGGAUUAAAGAUUAUUUUAGGUGCAGAAGCUUGAAAAUUUUGGUCUGUUCGACCAUUAAAUCUUUACAUGAUCUGAGUUCAGACCGGUGUAAGCCAGGUCGGUUUCUAUCUUUAUUUAAUUAUGAUAUUUUAGUACGAAAGGACCAAAUAUUAAAUAUAUUUAUAUUUUAAUUUAGAAUAUUAUUAAUAUAGAUUAUUUUGGCAGAUUAGUGCAAUGAAUUUAGAAUUCAUUUAUGUAAAUUUUUACAAAUAAUAUUGUUUUAUAUGGAUGUAAUGUUUUCAAUUAUUUGCAUAUUAUUAUUAGUUAUUUGUGUAUUGGUAGGAGUCGCUUUUUUAACGUUGUUGGAGCGGAAAG